GCCCCUUAGGGGUGAGAGGCUCCCAGCUAGACUACUGGGUUGAUAGGCCGGAUGUGGAAGCACAGUAAUGUGUGGAGCUGACCGGUACUAAUAAGCCGAUAACUUGCUACAA
RNAcentral lists this ribosomal RNA (112 nucleotides) under Kytococcus sp. CUA-901. RNAcentral's name for it is "partial 23S ribosomal RNA". It matches the Rfam family "Bacterial large subunit ribosomal RNA", at positions 2815 to 2925 of the family's 2925-position model. The record is from RNAcentral. Lineage: Bacteria; Bacillati; Actinomycetota; Actinomycetes; Micrococcales; Kytococcaceae.